UAUGGGGUUUUGCGGCCCAUACUGAAUCGCCUUUGUGACUUCUUCGCUGAAGGCGGCGGUGGAUUUAGGCUGUGCAAUCUCGAGCGUUCGAGUAUAUUCGAGAAGUCCUCUGCGAGUUCUUGCAGAAGCUAUAAAUUUGGGAUAUGUUUGGUUGAUUUCUAAGAAAGCUGAUUUGUUAGCUUUUAGUUCUGGAAGAUAUUUUUGGACUUUGUAUUGUUGAUUUGGAGUGGAGAUGGCGAAGGAAGGUCCUAAUUGGGAAGGCUUGCUGAAGUGGAGUCUUUCUCAUUCCGAUGGUACUAGUGCCUCUCGUAAUUUAAGUGAGGAGGAUAGGAAAUGGUUUAUGGAGGCGAUGCAAGCGCAGACAGUUGAUGUUGUGAAGAGAAUGAAAGAGAUUACAGUUGUUAUGCAGACGCCGGAGCAGGUUUUGGAGUCUCAGGGAGUGACAGCUGAAGAUAUUGAAGAUAUGUUGGAUGAACUGCAAGAACACGUGGAGUCCAUUGACAUGGCCAAUGAUCUUCACUCCAUUGGAGGUCUGGUUCCUCUUCUUGGUUACCUAAAGAAUUCUCAUGCUAGCAUCAGAGCAAAAGCUGCAGAAGUUGUCACCACAAUCGUUCAGAACAACCCAAGGAGUCAACAAUUGGUCAUGGAAAACAAUGGACUUGAGCCGCUCUUGUCGAAUUUCAGUUCUGAUCCUGAUGUUGUUGUUCGCACCAAAGCACUUGGUGCAGUUUCAUCUUUGAUCAGGCAUAAUAAGCUCGGGGUUGCAGCAUUCCGCCUGGCUAAUGGUUAUGCAGCUCUGAGAGAUGCUUUAAGUUCCGAAAAUUUGAAAUUUCAAAGGAAAGCUCUGAACUUGAUUCAUUAUUUACUUCAAGAGAACCGAUCAGACACUGUAAUCGCAACCGAGCUUGGGAUUCCUCGCAUACUAUUGCACCUAGCAUCGAGUGAGGAUGCUGAUGUACGAGAAGCUGCCCUUCGAGGGCUCCUUGAGCUAGCACGAGACAGGGAGAAAGCUAAUGAUAUAUCAUCUGAAGAAGACGAUAAACUGAAGCGAAUUCUUCAAGAACGGAUUAAAGCUAUUGGUGAGAUGUCUCUUGAUGAUCUCGGGGCUGCCAGAGAGGAAAGACAGCUUGUGGACUCCCUUUGGGAAACCUGUUAUAACGAACCAUCUUCUCUUCAUGAGAAAGGACUUCUUUCUCUCCCCGGGGAAGAUGACCUUCCACCGGAUGUCGCCAGCCAGCAUUUUCAACCACGUUUGAGAGCGGCAGCAGCUGCAAAUGGGAACCCUGAUUCAAAAUCAAACAAGGAAAAACAAGCAGCACCAUUGUUAAUAGGUCCUGGACCCCCAGCAAACGGUGCUUCUUGAUGCUGCCGUAGGAGUAGAGCACUGAUAUCACAGUCGGUUUGAAAGUGAUGAGAUAUCUCGAAGCUCUGCACUUGUUGAGGCUGGAGGAAUCAUCAAAUGCAUAAGAAUAAGCCUUGGGACAGAUGGCCUUGAACAGAUUUGCAAAAACCGUUGGCUUACAAGUUUUGGGGCUCGAAUACUCCCCGGUGCAGCAGUACUUAGCCGACUGCAUCGCCAAGCACGCGCUCUUGCAGCCCACCACUCUCCCGCCUACCCGGACCUCCAGCGCAGACGGGCAGCAGACAUUCAAAUCAACCUCGCACGACGCCACGCCGCAGCCAAUCCCUCCGCCGACCGGCUUCAUCGACACUGGCAAGUUGAAGCCAUCGACCAGACUCACAUCAUAGAAGUGCAGCGGCGAAGUGGCCGAGCCUAGAGUCAUUUCCACCACCGUUGCUGGCGGCACCCCGCCCAGCCCCCGGCAGCGCAGCUGCCCGGAGCAGUCUCCGGUGGCGCAGGUGCCCUUCCCAUUCCGAUCAAAGUUGCAGAUCUGUCUUCCCCAUAUUCUGCCAGACCAUUUCUCAGCUGAUGCCCACUCCCAUCUGCAGAGAAAGAAAGCCAUUAAAGAACCUGCUUGUCAAGAUUCAAGAAAAUGAUGGAUCAGUUACCUGUGGUAGUGAUGGAGAGAAGAAGCAGACAGGCUGCUGCUGUUUCGAUCUUAUUAUCGACCCGACGAUAGGAGGGAAUGGGUGACGGACGACGAUCCGGAGAACGUGGUGUUCCCUCCAAACGAGGUAUACGAGACCUUUACGUCGUCGAAUCCUUCGAAAUACACAAAC
RNA transcript from Andrographis paniculata, 2181 nucleotides. It is a transcript of the gene named hsp70 nucleotide exchange factor fes1-like, with no coding region annotated. The record is from RefSeq and is a predicted model, not a curated record. The transcript is spliced from 9 exons. Lineage: Eukaryota; Viridiplantae; Streptophyta; Magnoliopsida; Lamiales; Acanthaceae.